CGUAAGUCCGUGCCAGCAGCCGCGGUAAUAAGGGGGGGGCAAGGGUUUUUCGGAUUUAUUGGGUUUAAAGGGUCCGUAGGCGGAUCUAUAAGUCAGUGGGUAAAUCGCACAGCUUAACUGUGAAACUGCCGUUGAUACUGUAGGUCUUGAGUAAAUUUGAAGUGGCUGGAAUAAGUAGUGUAGCGGUGAAAUGCAGAGAUAUUACUUAGAACACCAAUUGCGAAGGCAGGUCACUAAGAUUUAACUGACGCUGAGGGACGAAAGCGUGGGGAGCGAACAGGAUUAGAUACCCCUGUAGUC
RNAcentral lists this ribosomal RNA (300 nucleotides) under uncultured Methanococcoides sp. RNAcentral's name for it is "bacterial SSU rRNA". It matches the Rfam family "Bacterial small subunit ribosomal RNA", at positions 496 to 795 of the family's 1533-position model. The record is from RNAcentral. Lineage: Archaea; Methanobacteriati; Methanobacteriota; Methanomicrobia; Methanosarcinales; Methanosarcinaceae.